UAGAUAUUAGUAAAAACAUUACAUAACUUUGUCAAAGUUAAAUUACUGGUUUAAUUCCUGUAUAUCUCU
This 69-nucleotide transfer RNA is filed under the name Proechimys brevicauda. Its description in RNAcentral is "tRNA-Asp". It matches the Rfam family "tRNA". Rfam says of the family: Transfer RNA (tRNA) molecules are approximately 80 nucleotides in length. The record is from RNAcentral. Lineage: Eukaryota; Metazoa; Chordata; Mammalia; Rodentia; Echimyidae.